Molecule: long non-coding RNA, 1954 nt
Organism: Orcinus orca (killer whale)
Lineage: Eukaryota; Metazoa; Chordata; Mammalia; Artiodactyla; Delphinidae
Exons: 2
Source: RefSeq, a predicted model, not a curated record
AGGGACAAGAUGGCUCUGGGCAUGAGUCAUGGCUGUACGCUGGGAAGAUUCCGAUGGGAACCUUGCUCUUGCUGGUUGAUCCAGACCUUACAUGGACUUGAGGCCAAAGAGUCGCUUUACAUGCAGCCUUCAGAUGUCAUUUUCCCAGUGAAAAAUCCCUGCGCCAGAGCAGAUGUUCCCUGGAAGCAACACCGGAGUCUUUCAGGAGCCAAGGUGAAUGAACUGUAAGACUGAUUCUUGAAGUUUUCCACAUUAAAACCAUUUCUGUCAUUGUCCUUGGCACUGGUUCUAAAAAAGUGUUCUAUAGCCUUGCUUCUCAGGCUUGACCUGUGUACAGAUCUCCUGGAGACUUUGUUAAACCUCAGACUCUGUUUCAGUAGUUCUGGGGUGGGGGGGCUCAAGUUUGUGCAUUUCUGACCAGCUCCCAGAAGAGGCUGAUGCAGAUCCAUGUUGAUUUCUGAAUCCUACUCGGAGUAGCAGGGGGAUACAGAAAGUGGGUCUUGCAAGAUGCUGUCCAACACAAAGGGUCUCUGGCCUGAUAAGUUCAAGAAAAAAAUAGGUUGCAUUUUUACCUUCCUCUUCAAAACCCUGCAAAUGAAUAAAUUAAAGACUCUGAGAAGAUCUUCCUGAGGAAGUCUGAUACAAAACUAACAGACCAUAGAACCAUAUUAUGGUAUGCCAUGCUAUCUCUUAAGAACCUAGGGAACUUGAUUUUUGUGAAAGGAAAUAAACGUCUGUUGUGUGGUCUCCAUUCAAAUAUUUGUCCAGGCACUUAAGCAGAUUGAAGGGGGGGGUUAGAAAAUGUUUGACCUUCUUUGUAGUGACCCUGGUAACCCUUCUCAGGUGAGUGUCACUUGUUCUCCAAAUGAGCAAGGUUACAAGUCAGGCUCCCGAUAUCCAUGGUAGAACAGUACAUUUUCCACCUAGAGUUCUGGUAUUUGAAGUGUAUGGUGCUCCCUUCAACCAGCUCAAAAAGUUGUUAGAGGUUUAGCUGCCACCGUGCUCUUGUCAAAAGAUGAGCUGAGAAAGUGAUACACGAGAAAGCUAGAUGAGGGGAAUUUAAAUCCCUUCAACCAUCUUAAAUUGUUUGCAAACUUCCAUGUGUUUAUGUAUCAAUCCUCUAAUAAGUUCCCAGGAAGAUUCCUGAACCUUUGCUCCAGAAAUGGUCAUCUUUUGGGUCUUAGGUAUAUUCUAAAAAUCUUCAUUUUAGUAAGCAUUCCAAGAAUUUUCUGAUGCAGGUUCUUUGAGGACCACAUUUGUAGAUUAAGUCCUGUUUCCUUAGAGGCAGAGCACAAGAAACUGGCCCAAAACAAGCUUCCUUGUUUUGGCUCUCUAAACAUGCACCUUUGUGAGUCAUGUUUUCAUGCUCUGCCCUGGAUUUUUGUGGAGGAUAUAUAUAACUGCAUGGGAAAACAUUAGCAUUUUCUCUAAAACUGUUAUUAAAGAUAUUGUCAUUAUAUCAGAAAAUCAGAAAAUUCUGCAAAAAGACUCUACUGACAGAGAAUUACAGCGUUGCUCCUGCAGUUUGGGGUGUAAGCUCAGCAGAAGAGCACACUUCUGGAUGUGUUUUAUUGUAAAAGCAAAUGAAAAGUUUGCUCCUAUGUCAUGACACGUAUUUGUAUUAACAUAAACAUAUAAACAUGUUAAUUUUACCCCAAAUUGUUAAGUUGGUGUUCUAAGUCAUCUGUGCCUUUAUGUUUACCCUUGACAUGUCACCAUACUCCUGGGAUAUUCCACAGCUUGAGAAUUGUAGCAGUAUAUCUUGAUUAGGGUCCCAGAAAUAAUCAAUAAAUGGGUGAAGAUUGUCAAAAGGUGCAAUUGCCAGUUAUGAGAUCAAUCAGUCCUGGGAAUGUAGUAUACUGCAUGGUGACUGUAGUUAACAAUACUGUAUUGUAUAUUCCAAGGUUGCUAAGAAAGUAGCUCUUAGAAGUCUCAUCAAGAAAGAAAUGUGUAA